GGGUUGUGAGGUUAAGCGACUAAGCGUACACGGUGGAUGCCCUGGCAGUCAGAGGCGAUGAAGGACGUGCUAAUCUGCGAUAAGCGUCGGUGAGGUGAUAUGAACCGUUAUAACCGGCGAUUUCCGAAUGGGGAAACCCAGUGUGUUUCGACACACUAUCAUUAACUGAAUCCAUAGGUUAAUGAGGCGAACCGGGGGAACUGAAACAUCUAAGUACCCCGAGGAAAAGAAAUCAACCGAGAUUCCCCCAGUAGCGGCGAGCGAACGGGGAGGAGCCCAGAGCCUGAAUCAGUGUGUGUGUUAGUGGAAGCGUCUGGAAAGGCGUGCGAUACAGGGUGACAGCCCCGUACACAAAAAUGCACAUAUUGUGAGCUCGAUGAGUAGGGCGGGACACGUGGUAUCCUGUCUGAAUAUGGGGGGACCAUCCUCCAAGGCUAAAUACUCCUGACUGACCGAUAGUGAACCAGUACCGUGAGGGAAAGGCGAAAAGAACCCCGGCGAGGGGAGUGAAAAAGAACCUGAAACCGUGUACGUACAAGCAGUGGGAGCCUCUUAAUGAGGUGACUGCGUACCUUUUGUAUAAUGGGUCAGCGACUUAUAUUCUGUAGCAAGGUUAACCGAAUAGGGGAGCCGAAGGGAAACCGAGUCUUAACUGGGCGUUAAGUUGCAGGGUAUAGACCCGAAACCCGGUGAUCUAGCCAUGGGCAGGUUGAAGGUUGGGUAACACUAACUGGAGGACCGAACCGACUAAUGUUGAAAAAUUAGCGGAUGACUUGUGGCUGGGGGUGAAAGGCCAAUCAAACCGGGAGAUAGCUGGUUCUCCCCGAAAGCUAUUUAGGUAGCGCCUCGUGAAUUCAUCUCCGGGGGUAGAGCACUGUUUCGGCAAGGGGGUCAUCCCGACUUACCAACCCGAUGCAAACUGCGAAUACCGGAGAAUGUUAUCACGGGAGACACACGGCGGGUGCUAACGUCCGUCGUGAAGAGGGAAACAACCCAGACCGCCAGCUAAGGUCCCAAAGUCAUGGUUAAGUGGGAAACGAUGUGGGAAGGCCCAGACAGCCAGGAUGUUGGCUUAGAAGCAGCCAUCAUUUAAAGAAAGCGUAAUAGCUCACUGGUCGAGUCGGCCUGCGCGGAAGAUGUAACGGGGCUAAACCAUGCACCGAAGCUGCGGCAGCGACACUAUGUGUUGUUGGGUAGGGGAGCGUUCUGUAAGCCUGUGAAGGUGGCCUGUGAGGGUUGCUGGAGGUAUCAGAAGUGCGAAUGCUGACAUAAGUAACGAUAAAGCGGGUGAAAAGCCCGCUCGCCGGAAGACCAAGGGUUCCUGUCCAACGUUAAUCGGGGCAGGGUGAGUCGACCCCUAAGGCGAGGCCGAAAGGCGUAGUCGAUGGGAAACAGGUUAAUAUUCCUGUACUUGGUGUUACUGCGAAGGGGGGACGGAGAAGGCUAUGUUGGCCGGGCGACGGUUGUCCCGGUUUAAGCGUGUAGGCUGGUUUUCCAGGCAAAUCCGGAAAACCAAGGCUGAGGCGUGAUGACGAGGCACUACGGUGCUGAAGCGACAAAUGCCCUGCUUCCAGGAAAAGCCUCUAAGCAUCAGGUAACAUCAAAUCGUACCCCAAACCGACACAGGUGGUCAGGUAGAGAAUACCAAGGCGCUUGAGAGAACUCGGGUGAAGGAACUAGGCAAAAUGGUGCCGUAACUUCGGGAGAAGGCACGCUGAUAUGUAGGUGAAGCGACUUGCUCGUGGAGCUGAAAUCAGUCGAAGAUACCAGCUGGCUGCAACUGUUUAUUAAAAACACAGCACUGUGCAAACACGAAAGUGGACGUAUACGGUGUGACGCCUGCCCGGUGCCGGAAGGUUAAUUGAUGGGGUUAGCGGCAACGCGAAGCUCUUGAUCGAAGCCCCGGUAAACGGCGGCCGUAACUAUAACGGUCCUAAGGUAGCGAAAUUCCUUGUCGGGUAAGUUCCGACCUGCACGAAUGGCGUAAUGAUGGCCAGGCUGUCUCCACCCGAGACUCAGUGAAAUUGAACUCGCUGUGAAGAUGCAGUGUACCCGCGGCAAGACGGAAAGACCCCGUGAACCUUUACUAUAGCUUGACACUGAACAUUGAGCCUUGAUGUGUAGGAUAGGUGGGAGGCUUUGAAGUGUGGACGCCAGUCUGCAUGGAGCCGACCUUGAAAUACCACCCUUUAAUGUUUGAUGUUCUAACGUUGGCCCGUAAUCCGGGUUGCGGACAGUGUCUGGUGGGUAGUUUGACUGGGGCGGUCUCCUCCUAAAGAGUAACGGAGGAGCACGAAGGUUGGCUAAUCCUGGUCGGACAUCAGGAGGUUAGUGCAAUGGCAUAAGCCAGCUUGACUGCGAGCGUGACGGCGCGAGCAGGUGCGAAAGCAGGUCAUAGUGAUCCGGUGGUUCUGAAUGGAAGGGCCAUCGCUCAACGGAUAAAAGGUACUCCGGGGAUAACAGGCUGAUACCGCCCAAGAGUUCAUAUCGACGGCGGUGUUUGGCACCUCGAUGUCGGCUCAUCACAUCCUGGGGCUGAAGUAGGUCCCAAGGGUAUGGCUGUUCGCCAUUUAAAGUGGUACGCGAGCUGGGUUUAGAACGUCGUGAGACAGUUCGGUCCCUAUCUGCCGUGGGCGCUGGAGAACUGAGGGGGGCUGCUCCUAGUACGAGAGGACCGGAGUGGACGCAUCACUGGUGUUCGGGUUGUCAUGCCAAUGGCACUGCCCGGUAGCUAAAUGCGGAAGAGAUAAGUGCUGAAAGCAUCUAAGCACGAAACUUGCCCCGAGAUGAGUUCUCCCUGACUCCUUGAGAGUCCUGAAGGAACGUUGAAGACGACGACGUUGAUAGGCCGGGUGUGUAAGCGCAGCGAUGCGUUGAGCUAACCGGUACUAAUGAACCGUGAGGCUUAACCUUACAACGCCGAAG
Molecule: ribosomal RNA, 2925 nt
Filed under: Escherichia coli
Lineage: Bacteria; Pseudomonadati; Pseudomonadota; Gammaproteobacteria; Enterobacterales; Enterobacteriaceae
Description: bacterial LSU rRNA
Rfam family: Bacterial large subunit ribosomal RNA
Source: RNAcentral